CGGAGGCAGUCGCCGGAAUGACAAGGGCGAGGGAGGAGCGCGGGUUAAGGGCGGCAGCAGCGGCGGAGGCGAAGGCGGCAGCGGGCUGCAGCGGCGUGGGCGACCCAUGGCGGCAGCUACGCGUGGAAGCCAUGGCACCCACCCAAGGAACCACACAUCGGGAACACACAAAGAACUGCAACAGCACGAUGAUAGUGCAGGUGAGGGGCAAGGCUGACAAGAGAGAAGAGAACGCGGCCAGCGGUGCUGCGGAUGAAGCCGGGUAGUGCUUCAUGGACCCGAACCGGGUGAUGGAGAUGGGCCUGCCCCUGUUGUCGCUGGCGACCACUAAGCCGUGCCGGGCAUGCCGGCCUGGUUCUACUCCUGUGCUCCAGGUUAUUGAUCUUGAGAUGGCUGCCUCAACUGAAAUUGUGCCCUUUAAAGACUUUGAGUAUAUCCAUGUACACAACACUGCAGGGUUGCUUGAAGCCUCUGUUAUCAUCGGGGGCAAUCAUCGGAGGUGCCAUGGAUGAGCAAAUUAAGUUACUGAAAGUAUUCAAGGUCACAAUAACGUUGUUGUUCCAAGUGGUUCGUAGCAUGCUUGAUGUGAAAAUAGGAGGGAAAGACUAUGCAAGUGACAAAAUCACAUACCCCAAGUUACUAAAGUUAGAGAUAUCUCAUGACUUUACACAAGAGAUACAACGAAGCAGCUUACUGGUUUCACCAGGCAGGACCUCUGUUGCAUUAAACGAAUUAGAUCGCCUUUAUACACAGAACUAAGGUGAUGUUUACCAGCAUUUGUAAUCAUCUCAAUCAUAUUCUGUAGCUUUCUAUCUUGGUGUGUAACAGGGAUAUUUAUCAGUGACACCUAAUCAUUAGUCGUAUGAAUGAUCGUUGAAAUGCUCGAAACAA
Molecule: long non-coding RNA, 891 nt
Organism: Panicum virgatum (switchgrass)
Lineage: Eukaryota; Viridiplantae; Streptophyta; Magnoliopsida; Poales; Poaceae
Exons: 2
Source: RefSeq, a predicted model, not a curated record